UUUCUGUAGCGGCGGCGGCGGCGGCGGCGGCCCUCGGCUGUACUGCGCAUUGAACACCUAGCCACAUAGGCCGAGUCUGCGCCGAGACGCGCCGCGCUGAGCUCUGCCUCUGUACGUGUACGCUGCUGCAGCCCAAAUCUCAAUGGUCCAGAGAGAGAGAGAGAGAGAAGAACGAAGAACAACCAGAAGAAGAAGAAGAAGAAGAGGAAGAAGAAGAAAGCAUUUGAGUGGUUUUCACUCCUCGUAGCUGGCUUUCACGCUGAUCAUCGCAAGCGAAAAAGCAAAAAAGCAGAAGAAAGGUUAAAGGUGCGAAUGAAUGCGAUUGAAGGAAGGAAGAAUCUGAUGAGUUUGUGUGUGCAUUUAAAGCUUUUGUAGCUACGAAACCCUCUUUCUCUAAUCCCAACGAUUCUAUUCGAUUCCAUUAUUUCCAAUCCAAUCCACUUUUUUCUUCUUCUUCUCUGUGAUCCGUUUCUUUCUCUUUCUACGGGACUUGAUUGAAAGUUAUGGAAAGCGACUGCUCGACGUGAUCGUUUUCCAUGCCAAUCUUUUGCCUCUUUCGUGUCCUCUAUAAUCCCUGUUAAGAGACAAGAUCUCGUGAUUCCGCAGUGAUUGAGCUUCUUGUACUUGUUUGACCCUAGUCUUUCGCUGUGAAAGUCCGGUGGAUUGGUGUUUUCUGUACCGGAGAUGUUGACGUGUAUAGCCUGCUCGAAGCAGCUCAACAAUGGAUCUCUGCACCAGCAAGAGGGAGAAGAUUCCGUUGCUACACCGAGGACUAAACAAACAAUCAAGGCUCUAACUGCUCAGAUCAAGGACAUCGCACUGAAGGCCUCGGGUGCUUACAAGAAUUGCAAGCCAUGUUCAGGCUCAUCGAGCAACAACGACAAGUAUAAAUAUGCAGAAGCUGAUUCUGCAUCAGAUUCGGCGAGGUUUCAUUGUUCCUACAGGCGGACUGGGAGUGCAAACUCCAUGCCAAGGCAAUGGGGAAAGGAAAUGGAGUCCCGAUUGAAAGCUCUGUCAAGUGGGGAAGUGAGUCCAGCUUCUGUAAGUGGACGAACUGAGAUUGUUUUCUUGGAAGAAGACGAACCAAAGGAAUGGGUAGCACAAGUUGAGCCUGGUGUGCUUAUCACUUUCGUUUCAUUUCCACAGGGAGGAAACGAUCUCAAACGGAUUCGUUUUAGCAGGGAACUGUUCAACAAAUGGCAAGCUCAAAGAUGGUGGGCGGAAAACUAUGAGAAGGUUGUGGAAUUGUAUAAUGUCCAGCGUUUCAAUAGCCAAGCUGUUCCUCGUCCACCUUCCCCUCCAUUAUCGGAAGAUGAUGCCUCGAAUACUCAAUCUACCAAGGACAGCCCUGCUACUCCACCUUUGACGAAUGAAUGGCCUCCUCGAAAUUCCGAUCGACCAUUGGGAAACUCGUCAUCAGAAUCUCUUGAUCACCACCCUAACCGACCCCCACAUUGCUAUGAUUUAGGUGGUUUAGCUCCAUCAGUUAAACCCUCUAGCGAAAAUGACGCAAAGAUUGAGACAUCAUCUGUAGAUGGUUCUUUGAGGACCAGUGAGGGAGAUCAGUCAGAAGAAGAGCUUUCUGUAAGUAAUGCUAGUGAUUUGGAGACUGAAUGGAUUGAAGAGGAUGAACCAGGAGUCUAUAUCACUAUUCGGGCUCUGCCAGGUGGCUCGAGGGAGCUAAGACGCAUUCGAUUCAGUCGAGAAAAGUUCGGAGAAAUGCACGCGAGAUUAUGGUGGGAAGAGAACCGAACGAGGAUACAAGAACAGUAUUUGUGACGAUGUUCUGAUUAUUCGUCGUGAGCCGCUGGGAUCUCGAAGAUGUUACAUGUUAACGGCCGUAGCAAGCUUCUCUUCUCUGAGCAAUGGUGGAUCUCUGCACCAACAUGAGGGAGACGGGAGCUAAAGCAAGCCGUUGAGGAACUUAUCGCUCAGAGAAGUUUCAUCUAUUUUCCGGCUAUGAAGAACGCGAGCCUAUGGAGCCUGUGUACUUGUGAUUUGUUUCCUUAGGACGUAAAUGAUUUCAGACGACUAAUUUCAGGUAUUGUUGGCAUUGAGCUGUUGGUGAAUACUCCGAUUUUUCUGAAUGUGGAUCUCAUAUGCUUGUGUUCUUGUUCUGGUAGUGAAUCUACAGAAAUUAGCAACUAGAAAUAGGAAAUUUUGGGAUUGUGAAUUGACAUUUUGUUUGCCACUAAGUGCGUCCCUCAAUGGGACCUAUCUCUUGGAGUGGAAUUCCUUUAAAAAGCUUCCACUUAGAAUUCUACUGGCAAGUUAGUCCUGUAAAUACAUUUGGUGAUUUCUGUCGCUAGCUGCCCCUUGAGAAAACUAGAAUACUCGUGCGGUAGCGCUAUGAAUAACAGUAAUCUAGCUGAGACAUUGCCUCAUGUUAUUCUUAUUUCAAUUUCUGGGCUUUUAAAUUCAAUCAUUCCCUUUUGAAUCUGAAUUAUGUAUGUACAAGCUUGUUUUUCCAUUCUAUCAGCUGUAAGUCGUUCAAUAAUAGAUAGCAAGCUCAAAGAUGGUGGAUAAGCAGUUCACCUUCCAACCUUCCAAGAUCUGAAGCUAAAGAUGAGUUUAAAUCUAUUACCUGUGAUUUGGAGCAGGAGUUUAAUGUUAGAUCUUCAACUCCCCCUGGUUCCUGAAGAUAGUAAUAUCCAUUGAACAUGGGCGACCCCUAGCAGAAGCGUUUAAAAAUCUUGAAGGGUAACUCGGAAGGAAAAGUUCAAAGAGGACAAUAUCGACUAGCGGUGAGCUUGGACGGUUACACUACAUCCAUAUCAGGGCACAAAAGGGAGUUUAGAUGUGUUCGCUUCAGGUAUUGAAGAUUUUAAUUAUGAAAUUGCCUGUUUUAUGCUCCACAUAUAGGACUCCAUUAGAUUUACUUUAUUAUAUCAUCAGCAGCCUCUUACUAGUUCGUGAAGAACAACCUAAACUUUUUGAAAUCCUUAUUUCUAAUUAGCUAGGCUUCACAUGAGUAUGAUAUGAAAUUAAUUCAAGUGAAAGUUUUGGAACGAAUUACCUUGAUGAUCAAGAUCAAGAGCAAAGAAAACUCGUUUUUCUAAACUUGUGAUUUGAAUCACUCCACAAAAGGUUUGAUCAAUAAUACUUGAAUGUCUCUAACAUAUAAGUUCUAAACAUAAGAAUUUGCAAGGUAAAAACUGAGCUCAACAAAGCUAAAAUAGAAACUCUAUUCCUCUCCAUUCCAAAAUAUGAUCUUAAAUUAAUAAAAUGAAUGACUAUUUAUAGCCUUGAAAAUAAACCUCAUAAUAACCCAUGGUUAAUUGUAAGGUUGUAACUUUGAUGGCUAUCAAUACCACAAUUACCCCUAACUAAUUGUAAUUUAUAAUUAAAAACAAUUUUCUAAAAUUUAAAAAAUACAAUAAAACAUUCUUAAAUCUAAAUCAUCCCUUUCAAGACUGAAACACCCUUAUUUCAUAUCAAAGUGUUUGGGUGAAGGUUUGAGUUCGAGGUUUGGCAAAAGAUGCAAAUAUUCCAAUGUUUUCUCUGUUGGUUUGUCAACCCGGACAAACCCAUGGGUUUUGACAUAACUCUCAUGCACAAACUCCUUAGCUUAAACUUCUAAACUGGAUAUUCACACACUUAAAUAUACAACUUGUGCAUAUAGUGUGCGAAAGUAAUUUUGUUACUUCAUAGAAUUGAUUAUCGUGCAUAGCUUAGUGAAUAAAAUAUCUAUUACUUUCUUUAAAGUUGAAGGUU
Molecule: RNA transcript, 3714 nt
Organism: Cucurbita maxima (winter squash)
Lineage: Eukaryota; Viridiplantae; Streptophyta; Magnoliopsida; Cucurbitales; Cucurbitaceae
Gene name: protein Brevis radix-like 2
Exons: 9
Source: RefSeq, a predicted model, not a curated record